CAGUCCCCCCUCUUGCUCUCACAUCCUCUUCUGGUCCCCUCCCCACUUUUUCCCUGUCUCCCUCCAAACCUGCCUCUGUCCUAUAUGCUCCUGAACGUGCCUGUCACCUACAAGCCACUCAAGGAGGCCGGCAGGUCCUACAUGGUGAGCUGGGGCCAGCAAUGAGGGCUGGGGAACUGGGCUGAUCACAGCCAAGCUCCCGCCAGCCUCAGCUCACCUAGCAGGAUGCUUCCUUCUUAAGGUGCCCAGCUGAUGGACCAGCUCACAGCAUGCCUCCUGGCAGGACUUUGUGAUGCAACAAACAAGUGCUUGGUCCUUGUCCUCCAGAUCCCUGUUGCCUCAUGGGGGGUGGGGUCCCCUGGGGGGAUGGCCAGCUACAUGGUGCCCUCUCCCCCCCACCCCCACCCCACCAGCAGUCCCUUCCACCAAAGCAAUUCAUCAUCAGACCUCCAGGGCAGACAGCACAACUCCCAAGCCUUCAAGCUGACAGCCACAGGCAAAUGAAGACAGCUGGUUCUCACCUUCUAUGCGGCCCUUGGUCCCCAUUGCCCUGUGAGACUCUGCUUCUGACAAAGGGUCAGAAAGAUCCAUCCCUGAGAGGAAAAGAAGGGAAGACACCCUACCCCACGCCCCUGGAACUCACACCCCAGUGUGGAGGAUCACACGCAGACACACACAGACCGAGGCCUGCCCAUCCCGUAUAGCUGUGGCCCUGAAGCCCGUGGAGCAUCGGAACCACCUGAGACAGUGUGAGUGACUGAGCUUCCUUAGAGCUUCUAGCCUGCUGGGAGAAGGCAGGCCUGGGGA
Molecule: long non-coding RNA, 807 nt
Filed under: Rattus norvegicus (Norway rat)
Lineage: Eukaryota; Metazoa; Chordata; Mammalia; Rodentia; Muridae
Description: long non-coding RNA NONRATT032495
Source: RNAcentral